This 1932-nucleotide long non-coding RNA is filed under the name Fragaria vesca (wild strawberry). RNAcentral describes it as "long non-coding RNA (FVES_LNC003375)". The record is from RNAcentral. Lineage: Eukaryota; Viridiplantae; Streptophyta; Magnoliopsida; Rosales; Rosaceae.
UCACAGAUCAAACUCAACUCAAACUCAACUGCUUAUGAUCUCUUUCUCAUCGAUCAAACACAAAAAUCCUAUUUUCACUGAUCCAUUUCAUUACUUUGGGACUCCACUAUCGCACCCACUACUCCUUCUCCUUCUCCUUCUCCUUCAUCUGCCCUCUCUCUAUUUCUCAUUUUCUCUCUUCAUCUUCUUCGAUCUCUUCUGUUAUCUUUCCCUUUUUCCUCUUUUAGUUUAUAUGUGAGAUCAAAGAAGCAUCAAUAUCGUGAAUACAGUCCCGAUCCGACCUCAAGAUGCGACAUGCAUGACAAUCACACCUUAAAUCCAAUCCGUGAGUUUUUCAUUUUGAACUCUCAACCCUCCAAUCUCUUUUCUUUAUUUCCCCAAAUUUGAAUGAAAAAUAUUUUGUCUGGUUUGAACGAAGGUCUGGGUGCGAAAAUUUUGUCUGGGUGCGAAAUUUGGGUAUUGUAGGAAGAAAUACAUGGACUAGAGGAAGAUUUGAAGGCCUGCCAUGAACAUCGAUCUGGGCAUAACGACGGUGAGAAGAGAAGGAAAAAUGGAAAAGGAAAAACAAUAAAAAAAGAUUUGACAAGAGGAGUUGAUCUUGUCAAGUUUGACAAGGUGAGACUGGAGUAGUCAUCCACGGUGGAUUUGAACGGUGGGUUAGAGAGACAGGGUGUGGUCUUUUGUUAACGUUGGAGCUCCACGGUGGAUUUUGACUACACCGUUGGAGAUGCUUUUAUUGCCCAUUCCAAUGAAUUUAUUAGACAUGAGUCAAUCUAUUCUAAUAUAAGGUGUUCAUAUUUGUGCCUAAAUACACAAAUCUAAAUUAAAGUCAUAAUAAAAUAAUAAUUUUUGUAUUUUUUAAGACAAUUUUACCCUCAUCACUUCAACAUGUAUAAAAGAGAGAAAGUGAAAGAGUGAGAAGACUUUGCCGGAACCUCAAUGGACUCCGGUCACCGGUCGCUAGACUCCGGUCACCGGUCGCUAGACUCCGGUCACCGGUCGCCAGUCUCCGGUCACCGAUCACUGGACUCCGGUCAACGGUCACCGGUUCCCGGUCGCCGGAAUUUCUUCGGUCGCUUGUUAUUGACUCCUAGUAACUCAGAUUUUCUCUGGUCGUCGGAUUUCGGUCACCGAUAACUCGGUUACUGACCCCUGAAAACUUGGUUACUGACCCCCAAUAUUUGGUUACUGACACUCAAUAAUCAAUUACUGACCCCAAUAAUCAACUUAUUUCAGCUUAUUGUAAUAGAAAAGAAGAAAUACCGGAACAUAAUGGAGUUAUUGACCCCAAUAUUAGUUAUUAACCCCCAAUAAAAUGUUGAAACAUUAUUGUGAGGCCCAUAAGGGCAUCCAAACCCCCAACCCAUUGUCAAGGACCCAAGCCCAAACCAAAAAAUUGCUCUGGGCACCCAAAGCUGGCACCCACACACUUCCCGGCCGCCAUUGUCGUCGACUCCGGCGUCCAACCUUACGCCAAUCGUCACCCAUCCAUUUCUGUUCGGAUCCAGAUCUUCAUUGGCUUCAGGCCAGAGCAGACCUGGCGUAGAUGAACGCUGAUCGACAAGCGCCGAACGCCAACUGCUGAGCGACAAGCGUUGACCGCCAAUCGUCGAGUGACGAGCGCCUACUGCCGUGCGAUGAGCGCAGAGCGACGAGGCCUCGGUCUUUGGGAAGAAAUCAAAUUCUAGAGUUUUGGAUAUGCAGAGUAUUACGGUGAUUCUCAACAUAUCUCACUUGGUGACGGUGUCCAUGCGGCGGAGGAGCGACGACACAGCUUAAAGAUCUCACCGGCAGCAGAGUUUAGCUCGGUUCACGUCUUUAAGGUAGCGGCUUCGUCGUUGAGGGCUCGAGUCUCUGAUUCAAGAGAGAGAGAGAGAGAGAGAGAGAGAGAGAGAGAGAGAGAGAGAGANNNNNNNNNNNNNNNNNNNNGAG